CCUACGGGAGGCAGCAGUAGGGAAUAUUGGGCAAUGGGACGAAAGUCUGACCCAGCCAUGUCGCGUGCAGGAUGAAGGCCCUCUGGGUUGUAAACUGCUUUUGACAGGGAAGAAAUACAUCAUGCGUGGUGGGCUGACGGUACCUGUAGAAUAAGCACCGGCUAACUCCGUGGCCAGCAGCCGCGGUAAUACGGAGGGUGCAAGCGUUGUCCGGAUUUAUUGGGUUUAAAGGGUGCGUAGGCGGUUCUGUAAGUCAGUGGUGAAAGCUAGCAGCUUAACUGUUAAACUGCCAUUGAUACUGCAGAGCUUGAGUUCAGAUGAGGUAGGCGGAAUUUAUAGUGUAGCGGUGAAAUGCUUAGAUACUAUAAAGAACUCCGAUAGCGUAGGCAGCUUACUAAACUGAUACUGACGCUGAGGCACGAAAGUGUGGGGAUCAAACAGGAUUAGGAUACCCUGGUAGUCCACACUGUAAACGAUGAUUACUCGUUGUUGGCCGAUAUUACUAGCACGCGACGUUAACGGUAAACCGGUUAAACGUUAAAGUACCGACCGUACGGGUAAGGUACGGUUACGUUCGAAGGUAGUUAGUUAAACGUUAAAGUUAGUUAGUUAGUACGGGCGUUGAGACGUUGCGACGGACGACGACGAGGGAGGAGG
This 657-nucleotide ribosomal RNA is filed under the name uncultured bacterium. RNAcentral's name for it is "bacterial SSU rRNA". The stretch from base 1 to 531 matches the Rfam family "Bacterial small subunit ribosomal RNA", at positions 338 to 873 of the family's 1533-position model. The record is from RNAcentral.